RNAcentral lists this ribosomal RNA (625 nucleotides) under Anatololacerta sp. RNAcentral's name for it is "partial large subunit ribosomal RNA". Lineage: Eukaryota; Metazoa; Chordata; Lepidosauria; Squamata; Lacertidae. The record is from RNAcentral.
GGAAGACCUAAAAAUAGUGGCAAAAAGCCAACCGAGCUUGGUGAUAGCUGGUUACUCAAUAAAUGAACCUUAGUUCAACUUUAGGUGCCCAUGGGCCAACUACUUUAACCCACCACCCAUUUGACCUAAAGAAAUUCAAUGGGGGUACAGCCCCAUUGAACCGGAAUACAACCCGAAUUGAGAGACACUUACUAAACUUUAACCCUAACAGUAGGCCCCAAAGCAGCCACCAACUAAACGCGUUACAGCUACAACAAAACAAUUUUCACAAUAAUAUACACCUCCUAAUAUACCACGAGUUAUUCUAUUCUCUAAUAGAAACACCAAUGCUAAAAUUAGUAAUAAGAAACCCUAAUUUCUCUCCGCACCCCCUUAAAUCAGAAUAGAAAAACUACUGAUAAUUAACACAACACGACCUGCAACAACUAGCUAACAUGUCAACUAAAAUCUGUUACCCCAACACAGGAGUGCAAAAAAGAAAGGCAAAAAGCCAUAAAAGGAACUCGGCAAACCCUACCGUCCCAACUGUUUACCAAAAACAUAGCCUUUAGCUCAACAAGUAUUAAAGGUCCCGCCUGCCCAGUGACUCUUUAAACGGCCGCGGUAUCCUAACCGUGCAAAGGUA